GUGCCAGCAGCCGCGGUAAGACGUAGGAUGCGAGCGUUGUCCGGAAUUAUUGGGCGUAAAGAGUUCGUAGGUGGCAUAUCAAGUCUGGUGUUAAAGACCGGGGCUCAACUCCGGAAGGGCACUGGAUACUGAUAAGCUAGAGUGUAGUAGAGGCAAAGGGAAUUCCUAGUGUAGCGGUGAAAUGCGUAGAUAUUAGGAGGAACACCAGUGGCGAAAGCGCUUUGCUGGACUAUUACUGACACUGAGGAACGAAAGCCAGGGUAGCGAAUGGGAUUAGAAACCCCAGUAGUCC
RNAcentral lists this ribosomal RNA (292 nucleotides) under uncultured bacterium. RNAcentral describes it as "partial 16S ribosomal RNA". It matches the Rfam family "Bacterial small subunit ribosomal RNA", at positions 505 to 796 of the family's 1533-position model. The record is from RNAcentral.